UACGGAGGGGGCUAGCGUUGUUCGGCAUUACUGGGCGUAAAGCGCACGUAGGCGGUUAUUCAAGUCAGAGGUGAAAGCCCGGAGCUCAACUCCGGAAUUGCCUUUGAAACUAGAUAACUUGAACGUCGGAGAGGUGAGUGGAAUUCCGAGUGUAGAGGUGAAAGGCGUAGAUAUGCGAAAGAACACCAGUGGCGAAGGCGGCUCACGGGACGACUGUUGACGCUGAGGUGCGAAAGCGUGGGGAGCAAACAGG
Molecule: ribosomal RNA, 253 nt
Filed under: uncultured bacterium
Lineage: Bacteria
Description: partial 16S ribosomal RNA
Rfam family: Bacterial small subunit ribosomal RNA
Source: RNAcentral